AAAGAGGCAUUUACUUAUUACAGAGAUGGUGUGAUUUGAUUUUUUUAUUUACCGCUGUCAAGUCUUAGGAGAAAGACACAUUAGUCGGGAUAGAAAGAUUUGAAAUAACUCUACGCUUGUUGAAGGUGAAGUUUAUAAAUAAAACAAUUCCUUCUGUCGGGUAUCCCCGAUUAAUGCAGCCUCAAAUGCUUCAAUUGUCAAUUCUAGCAUUGAACGAAAGGUUACACCUAUGCC
This 234-nucleotide unclassified non-coding RNA is filed under the name Hevea brasiliensis (rubber tree). Lineage: Eukaryota; Viridiplantae; Streptophyta; Magnoliopsida; Malpighiales; Euphorbiaceae. The record is from RNAcentral.